Molecule: long non-coding RNA, 2289 nt
Organism: Juglans microcarpa x Juglans regia
Lineage: Eukaryota; Viridiplantae; Streptophyta; Magnoliopsida; Fagales; Juglandaceae
Exons: 2
Source: RefSeq, a predicted model, not a curated record
CGGAUGUCACCGAGACGCUGGAGGAACUUGCUAGGGUUUCACAAGAACGCCUAUAAAUAUGUAAAUAUGUAGACAUAAGCAGCGAUACACAGCUCGCAAUCCCUCUUAGGUUAUGGUUUCGUUUCGACUUCUCUUAGGUUAUGGUUUCGUUUCGACUUCCUCUGUUAGUUCCUCUCGCUCUCCCUUUCUCUCUGUGUUUGUGACUCUGUACCUCUUUUUUUGUUUUUUUUCUUUUGAGAUUCUUGGCUGCUUCAAUCUGCACGAUGCACUACCCCGGGCUUCUCUGAAUGAGUAAUCAAUCGAUGACGACGAAAGCCCCAUUGCUCGUGCCAAAACGAUCCGACGUCAAGUGUUGCAGUUCAGCCAUUCUCUUUCUCCACGGCUGAGCUGUGUCAAAUCGACGCCCACAUCUCAAUCUCUCUCUCUUUCUCUCUCGAGAAUAAAGCUGUUACUUCUUUCCUUAAUCUUUGCCUCGCUACACCUUUAGCUUGUUUUAUUGUUAUAGAUAGCGAUAUGAAAACAAGGCUAGUCAUUGAGGCAGAUAUUGAUUGCUCUUUGGCGGUUUUCACGUGGGGGUUUAUUUCUUUCAAUGGUUUUGCCUCUAAAAAUAUCCGCUACAGGAGUGAGUUCUAAUCUACAAAUCGGCAGUGAUGAUGAAAUUUCAGCUUUAAAUGCCAGUUCUGCUUCUGAAGAUUCUUGAUUGAUAGAGCUGUUAUGUGAUCUGAGCCCAUCAAUACAUCAUAUAUGCCAAUUAAUGUUUUCUCAGCUUUUUGUGUUGAAACUGGUUUCAUCUCUUCGUUACAAGUGUUGGUUUUAUUCUAUUAUUUUGUUUGUGUGCUUUAUUUCGUUCAUCGGAUUGGCGUAUUUAUUUAAUUCAAUGAUGACUGUCCACAUACAUGAGAUUAGUUAGCUUCAAGCCCCUGUUUACAGGGAGAACCUACUUGAGGCUGCUAUAUCAUUACUUGAAAUUACUGGACCAUUCUGAGAAUACUCUUGCCAAAUCCAGACAAAUUCUGUCAUUUUCAAGUUCUCGUUCAAUUGUAUCUUAUACUUUUGGUCUUGAUGCCUUUAGGAUGCCAAUGAUGACCCAACUCUUUUGAGGUGUUGUGGAGCCAAUUCCUUGCCUUGCAAGGAGAACCUAGUUGGUGAAGCUACAUUUGAAAUGAUAAUUCAAGGGAUUUAACUGAGGCUCUUACCUAAAUUGAAUUUUAAUUAUAUUAAUGUAUGUUCGUCACUUUUUGGAAUUUUAAAAGAUUUAGGGAAUUUUGUUCUUUUGAAAUUCUGUUAAUUCUUCUUUAAGCGAGCUUGUUUUUGGCUCUAUUUCCUCUCUUUAGUCAUGUUGAUAUGCUUUAUGAUUUGGUGUUUGAUCGAUGGCCAAUGAUGUUACUUACAAUCCAACUUGUAUUUGGUACGCAAGAGCCAAGUCCCCCCCAUCUUAUGGGGAGAACCUACUUGGUGAAUCUGCGUUUCCAAUGACUGAAAAUACAGAAACUGAGGUUCCUGAUUUCUAUCUUCUUCUCUGUUGCCUUUGUCAGCUUAGAAUGUAGAACUGCUUUUGCGGUAACUAUAAGUGUACUACUACAUAUUUCUCUGCCAAUUCUAUUUUCAUAUCGAGUUUUAACUAUACACUAGCCCCCUAAUGGGUCUAGGGUCUGAAAAACUCGGAAAUUCUGUGUGGUCAUCAGCUUCUUCUCUUGUACAUUACGAGACUGGAGUUAAAUAACGGCACUAUAUUCCUGACUUGUAGUACUAAUUCCUUGUGUAAUUCUGGGUUUUGGUUGUUUUUUGUUUUUUAUCUAUUAUAUUUUUGUAUUUAGGCAUAUAUUAAUUAAUAAUUAUAUUCUAAGUAUAAACAAUUAUAUUUUAAAUGGUCCUAAUAUCAUAAAAUCUUAAAUAUUCGUUUCAUUUGUCGUUCAACUAAUUUCUUUUGCUACUCUUUCGUCUAGCAGUAUGACCCCCAAAUGAGUGAUCCAAAUGCAACCUCUUUUGUCUGCCUUGAUUGUGAUUGUUUUGUAGCGCUUUUUUACCUCAUAGAAGCAAGUUCCAACUCGAUAUUAAUCACAUCGACCGCACCAUCACCCCUGGCGACAGUACACAUCUUGCCACUACUGGUCGUGUCAGACACAUGCAGAUUACAAGACGUGGCAAGGUUGAAUUGGUCCAUGCAUUGAUACUACGCCAUGACUCCAUUUCUUAUUAUGUAUAAAAUCGCUAGUAGAUUCAAGCGACAUAUAUUAGGUCUAUUUAUCUUUUAUAAUUGAAUUUUAAUAUAUAAAUUUUUUGGUUAAA